RNAcentral lists this ribosomal RNA (485 nucleotides) under uncultured bacterium. RNAcentral describes it as "bacterial SSU rRNA". It matches the Rfam family "Bacterial small subunit ribosomal RNA", at positions 28 to 507 of the family's 1533-position model. The record is from RNAcentral.
GAUGAACGCUAGCGGCAGGCCUAACACAUGCAAGUCAGGGGUAACAUGGAAAGCUUGCUUUUCUGAUGACGACCGGCGCACGGGUGCGUAACGCGUAUACAACCUACCUUUUAGCGGGGAAUAGCCCAGGGAAACUUGGAUUAAUGCCCCAUAGUAUAUAGACUUCUCCUGAAGUUUAUAUUAAACAUUUAUGGCUAUUAGAUGGGUAUGCGUCCUAUUAGUUAGUUGGUAAGGUAACGGCUUACCAAGGCAGCGAUAGGUAGGGGUCCUGAGAGGGAGAUCCCCACACUGGUACUGAGACACGGACCAGACUCCUACGGGAGGCAGCAGUGAGGAAUAUUGGACAAUGGGCGAGAGCCUGAUCCAGCCAUGCCGCGUGCAGGAAGACUGCCCUAUGGGUUGUAAACUGCUUUUACAGAGGAAGAACCACCCCCACGUGUGGGGGUUUGACGGUACUCUGCGAAUAAGGAUCGGCUAACUCCGUG